UGCUGUUGCGGCAGCUGGGGUGGCUGAGAAUAUUGUGGAAGAGAGGCUGGUUGAUAUUGUUGAUGUGAUGGAGCUGCAGGAGGCGGCUGUGGUUGCUGGGUCGGUGGUAGUUGGUAUUGCUGGUUGGGAGCUUCUUGUGCCUGACCAGGUGGUUGAAAGUAGGGCUCUCGCUGUGGGAUGGAAGGAAUCUGGUUCGGAGGGAAUUGACUAGGUAGCUGAGCUGGAGGAGACUGCAUAUUGAGUUGGGGAGGAGGUGGCGGAGCAUUAGGGGGAGGGAGUGCAGGAAGUGUUUGAGGAGUAACAGGUGGAGGAAGUGGUUGGUGAGAUUGCUGAGGAGGAGAUGCUGCUUGCUUUGCAGAAUCUAAG
This 366-nucleotide long non-coding RNA is filed under the name Vitis vinifera (wine grape). RNAcentral describes it as "long non-coding RNA (VVIN_LNC004847)". Lineage: Eukaryota; Viridiplantae; Streptophyta; Magnoliopsida; Vitales; Vitaceae. The record is from RNAcentral.